This is a long non-coding RNA of Oncorhynchus tshawytscha (Chinook salmon), 548 nucleotides long. RefSeq lists it as uncharacterized. The transcript is spliced from 3 exons. NCBI's taxonomy places the organism in Eukaryota, Metazoa, Chordata, Actinopteri, Salmoniformes, Salmonidae. The record is from RefSeq and is a predicted model, not a curated record.
GGGAACCAGGGUCAAAAGCCAGACAGUCCUAUAGUUUCAGUGCCCCUGAAUACAUACGGUAUCUGUCUUGUUUAUGACAUCGUACCAUUGGAAUAUAUUGUCGUCUUCCCAGGUGAUUAUUUGCACCGAUGGAAAGGCCUACACAGACCUGGGGAAUCUGGAGGUGGAGGACAACAAUCAAGUUCGAUAUUUCCUCUACUCCACCAUCUUCUACCAAGACCUGGGCGAGUAUGCUGCUAGUCAGGGUGACAGUGGCAGUGUUGGCUAUUGAGGGGAAAGACUGCAGACUUGAUGAGCAGGGGAGACCAGCAGAUCAUACAGGCGGAAAGGUGGUGAUAGCAAGCUAUAUAUAUAGCAAGCUAUAUGAACUACACACUGAAUUUGAGAUUAUAGAGAACAGGACGAUAGCUACACAUUGUAGUGUGAAUUUGCUGCUCCCAACAACUCUAAGUGUUGAAUUACACAUCGGUAUAUUCAUUUGUAUUUACAAAUAUAGUAUAUGUACAGUGGGUGGGAAAAGUAUUUAGUCAGCCACCAAUUGUGCAAGU